GAUGAAGAACGUAGCGAAAUGCGAUAAGUAAUGUGAAUUGCAGAAUUCAGUGAAUCAUCGAAUCUUUGAACGCACAUUGCGCCCGCCAGUAUUCUGGCGGGCAUGCCUGUUCGAGCGUCAUUUCAACCAUCAAGCCCCCGGCUUGUGUUGGGGACCUGCGGCUGCCGCAGGCCCUGAAAACCAGUGGCGGGCUCGCUAGUCACUCCGAGCGUAGUAAUACAUCUCGCUCAGGGCGUGCUGCGGGUUCCGGCCGUUAAAAAGCCUUAUUUACCCAAGGUUGACCUCGGAUCAGGUAGGAAGACCCGCUGAACUUAAGCAUAUCAAUAAGCGGAGGA
RNAcentral lists this unclassified non-coding RNA (335 nucleotides) under soil metagenome. Its description in RNAcentral is "partial contains 5.8S ribosomal RNA, internal transcribed spacer 2, and large subunit ribosomal RNA". The stretch from base 1 to 120 matches the Rfam family "5.8S ribosomal RNA", at positions 35 to 154 of the family's 154-position model. The record is from RNAcentral.